CCCGCACAAGCGGUGGAGUAUGUGGUUUAAUUCGACGCAACGCGAAGAACCUUACCAGGAUUUGACAUCCCUUGAUAACCUAAGAGAUUAGGUAUUCUGCCUUCGGGUAGACAAGGAGACAGGUGGUGCAUGGUUGUCGUCAGCUCGUGUCGUGAGAUGUUGGGUUAAGUCCCGCAACGAGCGCAACCCUUGUUCUUAGUUGCCAGCAUGAAAGAUGGGCACUCUAAGGAAACUGCCGGUGAUAAACCGGAGAAGGUGGGGAUGACGUCAAAUCAUCAUGCCCUUUAUGUCCUGGGCUACACACGUACUACAAUGGCCUGUACAAAGGGUAGCGAAGCUGCGAGGUGGAGCCAAUCCCAAAAAGCAGGUCUCAGUUCGGAUUGUAGGCUGCAACCCGCCUACAUGAAGUCGGAAUCGCCAGUAAUCGCGGAUCAGCAUGCCGCGGUGAAUACGUUCCCGGGCCUU
Molecule: ribosomal RNA, 465 nt
Filed under: uncultured Peptococcaceae bacterium
Lineage: Bacteria; Bacillati; Bacillota; Clostridia; Eubacteriales; Peptococcaceae
Description: bacterial SSU rRNA
Rfam family: Bacterial small subunit ribosomal RNA
Source: RNAcentral